UGGGGAAUAUUGGGCAAUGGACGCAAGUCUGACCCAGCGACGCCGCGUGCGGGAUGAAGGCCUUCGGGUUGUAAACCGCUUUCAGCAGGGAAGAAGCGAAAGUGACGGUACCUGCAAAAGAAGCACCGGCUAACUAUGUGCCAGCAGCCGCGGUAAUACAUAGGGUGCAAGCGUUGUCCGGAAUUAUUGGGCGUAAAGAGCAGGUAGGUGGUUGUGUAAGUCUGCUGUGAAAGCUCCCGGCUUAACUGGGAGAGGUCAGCGGAUACUGCAUAGCUAGAGUGUGGGAGAGGGUACUGGAAUUCCCGGUGUAGCGGUGAAAUGCGCAGAGAUCGGGAGGAACACCAAAGGCGAAAGCAGGUACCUGGACCAUUACUGACACUAAGCUGCGAAAGCUAGGGGAGCAAACAGG
RNAcentral lists this ribosomal RNA (409 nucleotides) under uncultured bacterium. RNAcentral's name for it is "bacterial SSU rRNA". It matches the Rfam family "Bacterial small subunit ribosomal RNA", at positions 355 to 776 of the family's 1533-position model. The record is from RNAcentral.